UUCAUUAUUUUUGCAACAUUCUUUUUUUACAAAUAAAAAUAACUUAACCAAAUUUUGGAGAGAAAAGCCCUCUUCUUGCUUGGUUUUUGUAUUUGAAGAAUGAAUUAGUUUGUGGAUGGAUUCAAAUGAGAUUUAUUGGAUUGGAGUAGGAAUAUAGAAGCCUUCAAUGUUGUCGAAGAAUUGUACAAAUUCGUUUGGUAUGUUGGAGUUCUUUGCAUUUUCAUUUUGGAGAAAAAUGAGGGUCAACGAUUCUUCAUGUCAAGAAGAACUUCAGGGAAGUGUAAAUGCUUCAUGGUUGGGCGGUAAAGCGCCCAGGCAAUAUUCUCACCCAUGGUUUUCUCAUGGUAGAUAGAUGUCAAGAGCCCAUGUCAGGAUGUUUAUUCAAUUAUGUUUUAUGUUUACAUUGUAUUCGACCUUAUGGUCUCUUGUAACUAAAGUCAAUUUCUUAUGUUUUGUCAAUCUCUUGACUCAUGUAAAUAAACCUUGUGUCUAAUUGUAACUUCUUUUAUCUAUUCGAUGUAAUUUGAGCAAGUUAUAUUAAUUAAUGUUUGACUAUGUGUAGUUUGUGUAUUUUAUAAUGUUAAUAAUAUGGAGGUCCUUACACUUAGCAUAAAAAUAGUGUUGCUAUCUUCACCAUUUUUAUCCACAUAAUUAGAAAAAUUAGAAUAUGUUUCUAUGGUCAAACUUGUGUGUGGAAUGAGUAUCGUCAUUUUUUUAAAUACUUGAUUUUCUUAAUUAGUUGUGUUCCAACCUUAAAAGUUAUUUAUUGAAAGCUAUACUCAAUGCUAAAUAAUGGAGAUGAUGAGCCUAAAUAAUGACAUUGUUUUGAUAGAUUUUUGUCAUAGUAUUCCUGCCUAGGUCUUAUGUUUAGACGAUAUUUGGAUCAAGAUACUCUCCUAGUUAAUGCCUUUUUAGGUGUUUCUAGAACUGAUUUAUCUCAUACUUAAGGUUGUCAUAUAAUGGUUUCUAAAUGGUUUAUCUAUGUAAAAUAUCGAAAUCAAUCUUAAGUAUGGUUUAAUUUAUAUCAUGUUAACAUUAGUAUAUACACAUGCUUUUUGUGCACAUUGUUGGCAUAUGCACACUCCAAUGAGACAUUGUAGGUGAUUGAAGGUUUUGUCAUUGAUGGAAACCUUACAAUCCUAUGACACCAGCAAGGUAUUCCACCGGCACUAGCAAGAUCAGACUCUACACCGGCACUCAGAUCACUGGCACCGACAGUGAAAGGUAGCAUAUCGGCAUAGAGGUCGACAGGAUUUUUGUUGUAAUAUAUUUUGUUUAUUAUUUGUAAAAUCAUUGUAAGAUGACUUGGCAAGUUGUAAAAUGACUCUUAUAUAAGAGAGAUCAUUGUAGAACAUUUUGUGUAAGUAAGAGGAAUGUAAUUAGGCGAAAUAAGGCAGACCUAUUAUGCGAAUUAUAGGUUAAGGGUUUAUGUAAGAAGCAGAGAAGAAACCGGUACUGGAUCUGGCAUUAUAUAUGCUAUUUUGAAGCAGUACAAGACACUUGAUUUAUAUAAUCCAUUUUGUAAGUCA
Molecule: long non-coding RNA, 1529 nt
Organism: Cryptomeria japonica (Japanese cedar)
Lineage: Eukaryota; Viridiplantae; Streptophyta; Pinopsida; Cupressales; Cupressaceae
Exons: 2
Source: RefSeq, a predicted model, not a curated record